GCCAGAGGCGACCGCUUUUGGAGUUCGAUUAAGCCAUGCGAGUAGAAUGAAUUAGAUUCAUUGCAAACUGCUCAGUAACACGUGGAUAACCUGCCCUAUGCUCUGGGAUAACCUCGGGAAACUGAGAAUAAUACCGGAUAGAUCACAACGCCUGGAACGGUGUGUGGUUCAAAGGUUACGGCAUAGGAUGGGUCUGCGGCGUAUCAGGUCGUAGGGGGUGUAAUGGACCCCCUAGCCAUCGACGCGUACGGGUGUUGGGAGACAUAGCCCGGAGACGGAUUCUGAGACACGAAUCCGGACCCUACGGGGUGCAGCAGGCGCGAAAACUUCACACUGCAGGAAACUGUGAUGAGGGAACUCCAAGUGGAUGCACAUAGUGUAUCUCUUUUCUUUACUAUUAAUCGGUAUUGGAAUAAGGGCUGGGAAAGACCGGUGCCAGCCGCCGCGGUAAUACCGGCAGCUCGAGUGGUCGUCGCUUUUAUUGGGCCUAAAACGUCCGUAGCCGGUUUGGUAAAUCUGUGGGUAAAUCAACUAGCUUAACUAGUUGAAUUCUACAGAGACUGCCAGACUAGGAACCGGGAGAGGUGUGGGGUACUCAAGGGGUAGGGGUAAAAUCCUGUCAUCCUUUGAGGACCACCAGUUGCGAAGGCGCCACACUGGAACGGAUUCGACGGUCAGGGACGAAGCCUAGGGGCACGAACCGGAUUAGAUACCCGGGUAGUCCUAGGUGUAAACGCUGUGAACUUGGUGUCGGGAGUCCGCAAUGGGCCCCCGGUGCCGGAGUGAAGAUGUUAAGUUCACUGCCUGGGGAGUACGGUCGCAAGGCUGAAACUUAAAGGAAUUGGCGGGGGAGCACUGCAACGCGAGGAGCGUGCGGUUUAAUUGGAUUCAACGCCGGA
RNAcentral lists this ribosomal RNA (899 nucleotides) under uncultured archaeon. RNAcentral describes it as "bacterial SSU rRNA". It matches the Rfam family "Archaeal small subunit ribosomal RNA", at positions 16 to 922 of the family's 1478-position model. The record is from RNAcentral.